UACUCCUACGGGAGGCAGCAGUGGGGGAUAUUGCACAAUGGAGGAAACUCUGAUGCAGCGACGCCGCGUGAGUGAAGAAGUAUUUCGGUAUGUAAAGCUCUAUCAGCAGGGAAGAUGAUGACGGUACCUGACUAAGAAGCCCCGGCUAACUACGUGCCAGCAGCCGCGGUAAUACGUAGGGGGCAAGCGUUAUCCGGAUUUACUGGGUGUAAAGGGAGCGCAGGCGGUUUGGCAAGUUGAGAGUGGAAGCAGGGGGCUCAACCCCCUGACUGCUCCCAAAACUGUUAAACUUGAGUAUGGGAGAGGCAGGCGGAAUUCCUAGUGUAGCGGUGAAAUGCUUAGAUAUUAGGAAGAACACCGGUGGCGAAGGCGGCCUGCUGGACCAAAACUGACGCUGAGGCUCGAAAGCGUGGGUAGCAAACAGGAUUAGAUACCCUGGUAGUCCACGCUGUAAACGAUGAAUACUGGGUGCUGGGAGGCAUAAGCCUUUCGGUGCCGUCGCAAACGCAUUAAGUAUUCCACCUGGGGAGUACGUUCGCAAGAAUGAAACUCAAAGGAAUUGACGGA
This 567-nucleotide ribosomal RNA is filed under the name uncultured bacterium. Its description in RNAcentral is "bacterial SSU rRNA". It matches the Rfam family "Bacterial small subunit ribosomal RNA", at positions 334 to 917 of the family's 1533-position model. The record is from RNAcentral.